This is a long non-coding RNA of Salmo salar (Atlantic salmon), 724 nucleotides long. RefSeq lists it as uncharacterized. Lineage: Eukaryota; Metazoa; Chordata; Actinopteri; Salmoniformes; Salmonidae. The record is from RefSeq and is a predicted model, not a curated record.
GGAAUGCUGAUCCAGAGUCUGCCCCUACAACUAGUUGGUCCCAAGACGAAAAGCAAAAAUGAUCGCCUGUCAGCGCAUUGAGCACGAUGUCUCUUCCACAGGAAGGCACUCCCUGUUAUACGUGUCCUGAUCAGGGAGUAGAAUGAUGGCGCUCAGCACUAGCCCUGGAAAGACAUCUCCACCCACACACAAACACUGAGAGAAGCAGAGGGAUGUUCCACUGCCUACAUGGAGAGAUAAGAAUGGCACCAGAGAGGACCUGCACCAUUGUUGCUGUCACAGUGGUAUUGCAGAAUAGCUGCGUGAAGAAGAGGCUGCCCCAUCCCAUGACUGAGCCAGGGCACAGGAAAACCAUAGGGAACCUGCUGGUCCAGAAAACAUCAAAGGUCGACUGGUCCGGAAUCAAAUCAUCGAUCAAAUGUAGCCAAUAGGUCUAGGUUAAAUGAGAGACGUAGAAACUUAUAUAACCAGCAUAACCAAUCAAUAAAUAUAUACGUUGUAACAAUUAAAAAGCAUAUCUUCCUUUCCUUCCUUCAGUCUUGAAAGUCUUACAGGCAGUAUUUACAAAUGCAAAUACUACACUUAAAAUGAUUGUAAAUCAAAUAGGCCUAUUCAAUGUACAAUUUCUUAUUAUUGCUCGCGCUACAAUUAACUGCUGCUGUUGUUGCUCAAGGAACCUAAUUUCCAAAUGUAAUUUAUUUUUCUCAAGCUCUAAUUUGUAUUU